CUUCUUCCACCUCGCAAUCCAAGGCGCGUGCGUCGCAGGAUAAACUCUACUGUGGCGGCGCCACUUCCAUCUCCGACUCCGUUCACGCCCGCCUGCUCCACUCUCUGUUCUUCUUCGUAGCUCUCUUGCAACCAUCGAGUCUGAGGUAAGAGACUGAUUAAGCUUUUGUUUUUCUGCUUAUUCUCUCUAGUUCGCGCUAAGAGACUGAUCCAUUGCAUUUCGACACUGAUUGCAAUUGCAUUUAGCCAUAUUUUCAUGUUUUCACUAAUCUGAACUCUUUUUUCCAUGUUUCUCACAUUGCACUACAUUGUCGGAAGAUGCAUAUGUUUAAGCUAGAAGUUCUUAUUUGGUGCUAAAUGAUCAUCUGGGUCAUUUGUCAUUUGCCCAAAUUAAUCAAUUUGUGCUAUUUCUUGUUAUGUUAUAUCAACUUUAUUGUAUUCAAUUAGUGGAAAAUAGAUUUACAAAUCAGUACAAGGUAACUAUUGAAGCAGAUUUUGAAGAUAGGUUUUUCACCUUACUGAUUUGUUUGUGAACCAAUCAUGUUGUGCUUAGCUUGUUUUUGCAAUGCAACAAAGUGACUUCAUGAUUCAGAUUUUAUAUACCAGGUAACUAGUAGGCAGUAGCCUGUUAAGUAAAUAAUGUUGAACCAGUUGAUGUUGGAAUUGGAUGGUUUUAAUAGUCUCUAAAAUAAAGCAUCACAUUGUAUAUUAAGUUCUUUCUGUGCACAUGUGCAGUUGUUUCUGGGAUUAAGUAUAUUUACUCUUUUCUCCUUUUAUUUUUUAAAUUGCGCAAGGUUUCCACAAGGAUCCUUAGGCUGAGCAUCAUCAUUUGAGGCUGGUUACUUUUCAGUUUUCACAAUGAAGAGCCCAGUUUGUGCAUGCAACUCAUCAUCCUUCUUGUUUGAAGCAUCACAUCUAUACCCAAGCUUAUAAGCAUUAGGAAAAGAACCCUUAAUUAACAAAAUAUAAAGCUUUAGGCUUCCCACUAUUACUAAACUAAUGAAGAACAUUUGCACAUUAAAAUAAGAACCAGGAAGACAUUGGGAACACAAACUCGAGCGCAAACACAAGUCUUGACAGUGGAGUCUAAAAAUACUGAGCGAGAGAUACAUUCAUAUAUAGUUAGACACAAGCAACCAGCCAGAACACUGAGCCAAUGUUUUUGUGACUCCAGAAAGCUUAAGGUUGCUCUGUUGGAAGAACUUGUGGGGAUGGGACAGUGAGCAAAAUAAAAGAUGUGUUUUCAAUGUUUGCUAUCAUGAUCUGGAUUGUAAUUCCUGUUUUUAAUGCUUUUGUUAUCUAUGCAGAACUCAGGACUGUUUCUAAUGCUGUCGUUAUUGCUUUCCAGAUCUUGUAGGUGGUCCCUUCACUUCACAUGGUUGAGCUGUGCAAGUCUGAAGGAGAUACUUUGAAAUUUCACAAGGUAAUUUAAUGAAAAAUUAAUUAUGUGUUUGUUUAUGGUAGUGAAAUAAUUCCUUGACAUCAUUAGUACUAGUGUUUAAGGCAGUGAAAAGCAGUGUUUAUCUUCACGUCCUCUCUUAAAGAACUACACUAUGAAUGCAGAAGAACAUAAUGAACAUGCUGAAAUUUAUAGUUUUUCUAGGUUAAUUAAAGCAGAGAUGAUAAAGAUUAUGAACAGUGACCAAAACUCAAACUAAAAGAGUGUGCAAAGACUAUAGUUCAUUGAUAUCAGAUUUUCUAGAAAAGUGAAUGGCCUCUCAUUGAAUUUGCGUGAGUAGCAGGGGCUGAUAUCAGUUGGGUGUAAUUAGGCUGUGGUCUUUACCUUUUCAUUUUAAUUCUCAAUUAGUCACUGCUGGUGUAUUGGUGACUGUAUUUCACUAUUUCCUUUUCUGUUCUCCUAUCUCUAGUAUUGGGUUGGGGCACCCCUUGUGCUCCCUCUUAAUAUUAUUUGGCUUACCCAAAAAUAAAUAUUAAAAGCACAAUUGACAUAGGAGAUAUAUAUUUAUUUUAAAUAUUAAUUGGUUCAUCAACUAGAUAUGCAAACAGAAUUACAGAUAGAUCCCUUUGAAAGUUACAGUGCAUGCAAGCAACCGCAACUCUGCAAAUACAUCGAGGGCACAAUAGUACCUCUCAACUGUCGAGUACAAUAAAAACACAAUACAAGUAAAUGAAACAAGUGAAAAGUUUCCUUUCUCUUCUAUGUAUGUUUCUCAUGAUGUGCUCUUCCAUCCAUAGCUUUCUCUGCUUUCAC
RNAcentral lists this long non-coding RNA (2211 nucleotides) under Lotus japonicus. RNAcentral describes it as "long non-coding RNA (LJAP_LNC002084)". Lineage: Eukaryota; Viridiplantae; Streptophyta; Magnoliopsida; Fabales; Fabaceae. The record is from RNAcentral.